CCACUUACCUGGCAGAGUAGAGACCGUGGUCACGAAGGGAGUUCUCCCAGAGUGAAGCUUCUUCAUCACACUCUAGAGUUGCUGAUUCCUGUAAUUUCCUCAAUGUGAGAAACGUUGUUUGUGCUAGAAGAGGGCUGCCCUCUU
RNAcentral lists this small nuclear RNA (144 nucleotides) under Macaca nemestrina (pig-tailed macaque). RNAcentral describes it as "U1 spliceosomal RNA (ENSMNEG00000018395.1)". It matches the Rfam family "U1 spliceosomal RNA". Rfam says of the family: U1 is a small nuclear RNA (snRNA) component of the spliceosome (involved in pre-mRNA splicing). Lineage: Eukaryota; Metazoa; Chordata; Mammalia; Primates; Cercopithecidae. The record is from RNAcentral.